Molecule: ribosomal RNA, 492 nt
Filed under: uncultured bacterium
Lineage: Bacteria
Description: partial 16S ribosomal RNA
Rfam family: Bacterial small subunit ribosomal RNA
Source: RNAcentral
AGUGAACGCUGGCGGUAGGCCUAACACAUGCAAGUCGAACGGCAGCACAGUAAGAGCUUGCUCUUACGGGUGGCGAGUGGCGGACGGGUGAGGAAUACAUCGGAAUCUACUUUUUCGUGGGGGAUAACGUAGGGAAACUUACGCUAAUACCGCAUACGACCUACGGGUGAAAGCAGGGGAUCUUUGGACCUUGCGCGAUUGAAUGAGCCGAUGUCGGAUUAGCUAGUUGGCGGGGUAAAGGCCCACCAAGGCGACGACCCGUAGCUGGUCUGAGAGGAUGAUCAGCCACACUGGAACUGAGACACGGUCCAGACUCCUACGGGAGGCAGCAGUGGGGAAUAUUGGACAAAGGGCGCAAGCCUGAUCCAGCCAUACCGCGUGAGUGAAGAAGGCCUUCGGGUUGUAAAACCCUUUUGUUGGGAAAGAAAAGCAGCAGGUUAAUACCCCGCUGUUCUGACGGUACCCAAAGAAUAAGCACCGGCUAACUUCGUG